Molecule: ribosomal RNA, 915 nt
Filed under: Brahmaculus moonlighticus
Lineage: Eukaryota; Fungi; Ascomycota; Leotiomycetes; Helotiales; Chlorociboriaceae
Description: partial large subunit ribosomal RNA
Rfam family: Eukaryotic large subunit ribosomal RNA
Source: RNAcentral
CUUAAGCAUAUCAAUAAGCGGAGGAAAAGAAACCAACAGGGAUUACCUCAGUAACGGCGAGUGAAGCGGUAACAGCUCAAAUUUGAAAUCUGGCUCUCUCCGGGGCCCGAGUUGUAAUUUGUAGAAGAUGCUUUGGGUGCGGCCCUGGUCUAAGUUCCUUGGAACAGGACGUCAUAGAGGGUGAGAAUCCCGUAUGUGAUUGGGUGCCCGCGCCUGUGUAAAGCUCUUUCGACGAGUCGAGUUGUUUGGGAAUGCAGCUCAAAAUGGGUGGUAUAUUUCAUCUAAAGCUAAAUAUUGGCCAGAGACCGAUAGCGCACAAGUAGAGUGAUCGAAAGGUGAAAAGCACUUUGGAAAGAGAGUUAAACAGUACGUGAAAUUGUUGAAAGGGAAGCGCUUGCAACCAGACUUGCGCGCCGCUGAUCAUCUGGAGUUCUCUCCGGUGCACUCGGUGGUGCUCAGGCCAGCAUCGGUUUUGGUGGUGGGAUAAAGGCUGUGGGAAUGUGGCUCCUCUCGGGGAGUGUUAUAGCCCGCGGUGCAAUGCUGCCUACCAGGACCGAGGACCGCGCUUCGGCUAGGAUGCUGGCGUAAUGGUUGUAAGCGACCCGUCUUGAAACACGGACCAAGGAGUCUAACAUCUAUGCGAGUGUUUGGGUGUCAAACCCAUACGCGUAAUGAAAGUGAACGGAGGUGAGAACCCUCAAGGGUGCAUCAUCGACCGAUCCUGAUGUCUUCGGAUGGAUUUGAGUAAGAGCAUAGCUGUUGGGACCCGAAAGAUGGUGAACUAUGCCUAAAUAGGGUGAAGCCAGAGGAAACUCUGGUGGAGGCUCGCAGCGGUUCUGACGUGCAAAUCGAUCGUCAAAUUUGGGUAUAGGGGCGAAAGACUAAUCGAACCAUCUGGUAGCUGGUUCCUGCCGA